AGAUUGAACGCUGGCGGCAGGCCUAACACAUGCAAGUCGAGCGGCAGCACGGGUACCUGUGCCUGGUGGCGAGCGGCGGACGGGUGAGUAAUGCCUAGGAAUCUGCCUGAUAGUGGGGGAUAACGCUCGGAAACGG
Molecule: ribosomal RNA, 136 nt
Filed under: uncultured soil bacterium
Lineage: Bacteria
Description: partial 16S ribosomal RNA
Rfam family: Bacterial small subunit ribosomal RNA
Source: RNAcentral